This 657-nucleotide unclassified non-coding RNA is filed under the name Neodiprion lecontei (redheaded pine sawfly). RNAcentral describes it as "tubulin polyglutamylase complex subunit 2, transcript variant X5". Lineage: Eukaryota; Metazoa; Arthropoda; Insecta; Hymenoptera; Diprionidae. The record is from RNAcentral.
CACUUGAGGCGAAUCAGUCACCUCUGAGAUACUUCGCGCAUUUUGCUUUUCAAGAGUACUCUGAGCGCUAUAAAAUUGAGUAUACGAUUUAAUGUUGGUAGAAAUGAAGCCGUAUUUUGCGUUGAUCACCAUCACUGAAGUGUUUCUACGUCAAAAUUUGACCAAAAAAAUUUUUUUCUACCAGUCCCUAAAAGAGAGAAUUAGUAUAGUCGCCGGUUGGAUUACAUGGCAGAUACGCGCAGAUGUUCGAAUGAUAAAAUUGUUCAAUUCACGAUAAAUAUAAACAUUUUCGCUGUAUCCAAUCCACAUUAUCGAAAACAUUAGAUUGCAAGGCAUAUUGUUCGAGAGUCUAAGAGUAAUAGAAUCAGUGUGACAUAUACACAUUAUUGUAAUUUACAUGUAUUCAACGACAAAGGAAAACAUAACUUACAAUACCGUUGUGACUACACAGUAAAAAAUUGCUUUUCACCAGUAAAUAGCAUUUAUAUGUUCUCCCUGAUCUUUUUCAUUCGAUCAGUCAUUCGUUGAAUUCAAAUAAAACGCGCUAAAAUUUAAUACGUUUACUAACAAGGAAUACCAGCUGGGUGUCCCCUUCAAAUUCGUAGCAGCUUAUGUAUAUUGUAGAACAUUGAAAAAUUAAAGACACGUAUUUUUUUU